Molecule: unclassified non-coding RNA, 350 nt
Filed under: soil metagenome
Description: partial contains 5.8S ribosomal RNA, internal transcribed spacer 2, and large subunit ribosomal RNA
Rfam family: 5.8S ribosomal RNA (bases 1-120)
Source: RNAcentral
GAUGAAGAACGCAGCGAAAUGCGAUAAGUAAUGUGAAUUGCAGAAUUCAGUGAAUCAUCGAAUCUUUGAACGCACAUUGCGCCCGCCAGUAUUCUGGCGGGCAUGCCCGUCCGAGCGUCAUUUCAACCCUCGAACCCCUCCGGGGGGUCGGCGUUGGGGAUCGGCCCUUUACGGGGCCGGCCCCGAAAUACAGUGGCGGUCUCGCCGCAGCCUCUCCUGCGCAGUAGUUUGCACACUCGCAUCGGGAGCGCGGCGCGUCCACAGCCGUUAAACACCCCAAACUUCUGAAAUGUUGACCUCGGAUCAGGUAGGAAUACCCGCUGAACUUAAGCAUAUCAAUAAGCGGAGGA